RNAcentral lists this ribosomal RNA (344 nucleotides) under uncultured fungus. Its description in RNAcentral is "SSU rRNA". It matches the Rfam family "Eukaryotic small subunit ribosomal RNA", at positions 292 to 636 of the family's 1831-position model. The record is from RNAcentral. Lineage: Eukaryota; Fungi.
GGUUCAUUCAAAUUUCUGCCCUAUCAACUUUCGAUGGUCGGAUAGUGGCCUACCAUGGUUUCAACGGGUAACGGGGAAUUAGGGUUCUAUUCUGGAGAGGGAGCCUGAGAAACGGCUACCACAUCCAAGGAAGGCAGCAGGCGCGCAAAUUACCCAAUCCCGACCGGGGAGGUAGUGACAAUAAAUACUGAUACAGGGCUCUUUUGGGUCUUGUAAUUGGAAUGAGUACAAUUUAAAUCCCUUAACGAGGAACAAUUGGAGGGCAAGUCUGGUGCCAGCAGCCGCGGUAAUUCCAGCUCCAAUAGCGCAUAUUAAAGUUGUUGCAGUUAAAAAGCUCGUAGUUG